RNAcentral lists this transfer RNA (72 nucleotides) under Luteolibacter yonseiensis. It matches the Rfam family "tRNA". Rfam says of the family: Transfer RNA (tRNA) molecules are approximately 80 nucleotides in length. Their secondary structure includes four short double-helical elements and three loops (D, anti-codon, and T loops). The record is from Rfam by way of RNAcentral. Lineage: Bacteria; Pseudomonadati; Verrucomicrobiota; Verrucomicrobiia; Verrucomicrobiales; Verrucomicrobiaceae.
CCCGGCGUAGCCCAAAGCAGAGGCAACGAGCUUAGAACUCGUCCAGUGCGGGUUCGAGUCCCGCCGCCGGGA